Molecule: transfer RNA, 83 nt
Filed under: Pilatotrama ljubarskyi
Lineage: Eukaryota; Fungi; Basidiomycota; Agaricomycetes; Polyporales; Polyporaceae
Description: tRNA-Asp
Rfam family: tRNA
About the family: Transfer RNA (tRNA) molecules are approximately 80 nucleotides in length. Their secondary structure includes four short double-helical elements and three loops (D, anti-codon, and T loops).
Source: RNAcentral
UCUCUGUUAGUAUAUCGGUUAGUACACGCGCCUGUCACACCUGCUGACCGCGCGAAAGCGGGGUUCGACUCCCCGACAGAGAG